This is a non-coding RNA of Elaeis guineensis (African oil palm), 2933 nucleotides long. NCBI's taxonomy places the organism in Eukaryota, Viridiplantae, Streptophyta, Magnoliopsida, Arecales, Arecaceae. The record is from RefSeq and is a predicted model, not a curated record.
CAUCGGACGUGGUGCGUCUCUCAGCUUGACGGUGAAGCUUAGACCGGACACGUCAAUAAAACCCUAAUGGAUUUCCGCUUGGAAUCCGGAUUAUAAAUAAGGCGGAGAAGAAGUGUGAGGGUGCUCUGAGGAGGGAAAAAUUAAGUUCUCUUUCGUUCGCUUUCUCGCUCUCUUGAGCGAGAGGGGUGAGAAGAUCUACUGCCAAUUAUCUUCUAUUCGACUGCUCUGAAAUCUUCUCAAUCAGGAUGUCUGGACCAGAGCCAGCAUCUGAAGUGGAAGCAGCUAAGAUGGCCAAUGGUUCUGGCCCCCUGCCUGAGGAUAUGGGUAUGCAGGCUGUUGCUGAAAAGAACAGUGAGGAAAAGAAUAAUGGAGAUGAAAACAAGGAUGGAGACCAGAAUAAGGAUGGUGAGGCUAGGAAAGAUUUGGAAGGAAAGAAGGAAAGCGAAGAAAAUGGCAUGAAAAAAGUAGAAGAUGAAGAAGAAGGAAAAGACGAAAAGAAAACUGAGGAUGUGAAUACGGGAGAAGCUGAAGAUGUGAAAAUGGUAGAUGCUGAGGAUCGGAAAACAGUAGAAACCGAGGAUGUGAAAAUGGUGAAUGUGGAGGAUGCAAGAGACGGGGUAGACGGGGUGAAAGAAGUUGGAGAAGAAGAGGGAGGAGCGGAUUUAAAGGUGAAGGAAGCAGAUGAUGUGAAAGAAGAUAAUGAGAAUAUGGAGAAGAAGGUUGAUUACAAUAAGGUGGAAGGUUUAAAGAGUAAAAGGGAAAGCAUUCAGAAGAUCAGCACUAAAAGGGAAGCGAAGGAGAAGAAAGAAAGAGGUACAAAGUUAAAGGAAUUGUCUAGGACUCCUACACCAUCUUCUAUUGAUCGCCCUGUGCGUGAGAGAAAAACUGUGGAAAGGCUAGUUGAAGUUAUUGAGAAAGAGCCAAAUAAGGAAUUCCUAGUUGAAAAGGGUCGUGGCACUCCACUAAAAGAUAUACCAAAUGUGGCUCACAAAUUGGCAAGAAAGAAGCCUGCAGAUCUUAAAUUGCUUCAUCAGACUCUUUUUGGAAGGAAAGGAAAGGCUGUAAAUUUUAGAAGUCAUAUUCUCCAAUUUUCUGGAUUUGUCUGGCACGAGAGCGAUGAAAAACAGAGAGCUAAAAUGAAGGAGAAACUUGACAAAUAUGUAAAGGAUACAUUAUUGGAUCUAUGUGAUUUAUUUGAUAUACCUGUUUCAAGAACAACCAUGAGAAAGGAAGACCUUGUAGCAAAGUUAUUGGAUUUUAUGGUUGCACCUCAUGCUACUACUGAUGUGAUACUUGCUGACAAGCAGCAGCAGUCUAUGAAAUCUCGAAAGCGUAAGAGGGUGACUAAAGGAAGUGCUUCUAAAGGUGUGGCAGAAGCACCCCCUAAGCAGUCUAGGAAGAAACAGACCAAAAGAGAAGAUAGCCCAAAUAGCAAAGGGAAGAUUGUACAAGAAAAUGAAGAAGAAGUUGAAAAGGAGAAUGAGAAUGGUAUUUCUGAUGAGGAUGAAGCACUCAAACAGUCUGAAUUUGAGGUGAAAGAAAGUGAAUCUGAAGAAGCUGCUGAUGAAGAUGAAGAUGAUAAUGAAGACUCAGGAAAAAGCAAAGAGGAUAAGAAGAGAUCUUCAAAACAACGAGGUUCUGUUGGUAAAGAAAAGUCAAAGGUGGAGAAGAGCUCUAGAAAAUCCUCUUUCCCAACAACCACCAAGAGCCCUACUAAAGUAUCGUCUUCCAAACGUGCCUUGGAACGUCCCAAGGCAGAAAACGAUAAGGAUGUAGGUGCAAAGGUUUUUUCCAGGAAAAAGAGAAAUGUUGAUGCAGCUAGGAAAAAAUCAACUCUUAAAUCAGAUAAGAAGGAGAAAGCUACUGGUAAAAGGUUGCCUAGAGGAAAGGGAAAAUCAAUGGAGGCAGAGUAUCCAAGUGAGGAGGAGCUGAGGAAAACUAUAUGUGAAAUUCUGAAGGAAGUGGAUUUUAACACUGCCACUUUCACUGACAUUCUUAAACAGCUUGCAACCCAUUACAAAAAGGACCUAACUCCUAGAAAACCAGCUAUAAAGGAAUUGAUCCAAGAAGAGUUAACCAAGCUAGCAGAUGAAGCAGAAGAAGAUGAGGAUGAUGAAGAUGAAGAUGCCGAGAAGGAAGAAAAUCCAGAACCUAGUGGCAAAGAGGUGAAAACUUGAUUGUGACGCAUGGCACUGACAUUUACUCCGUAAUGUUCUUCUGUCGAAGUUAGCCUGCCUGCUGUGGCGAUUUGGCAUCAUUUUAUUGCAUUAUUUAUAAUGCCAAUUGCCGAGACCUUUUCCUCUCCCUAGUCAUGCUCUGUAUUUAUAACAUGGUUUUGUGGGCAUCAUCUUAACCUUAAGUUCACUGACCUGGAGAUAUUGUUAGCACUUCUAUAACUUUUGAAGUUUGAUGCCUGGAAAUACCUUUUUUAUGACUUAUUGCAAGCCCUAGUGAUUGGAGACUCGUCGCCGUGCUUCUGCUUCUGUUGUGAGAUCGCUCUGCUUGUUAAACGGUUACAUCUUGCAGUUGUAAAUUGUAGAAUGCUGGUAUCUGAUGUCUUCAGUCAAGAUUUCAAGUUAAACUAUCUUCGUUUCUUGCAAGGGUGGCUUUCAUAUUUGAGCUCGUGUAACUUGAUUGUUGCGAGGGACGAAGCCAGCGCCUUUAGACAAUGUAUUUCCUGAAUGUGUGCAAUAUUUUGUUGUUUGCCGGUGGUGUCUUUCCUGUGGCGGUAGAAAAGGAAAUGUUUUUUAUUUGCAUUUGUGUCUUUUGGGAAGAGCUGACUGUUUAUUCAUUUUUUUCAGAAUUUGGACUUCUAGAAAUGAGAUAUUUGAAGAAUCCUUUUGGGGACAGAAAAAUCUCAUCCAUCAGUUUAUUGUAUAUAUCUAUUUUAGUAAGGAAUUCUGUGUGAAGAAAAAAUGAAAAAUUAUUGCCGU